This is a long non-coding RNA of Haplochromis burtoni (Burton's mouthbrooder), 330 nucleotides long. RefSeq lists it as uncharacterized. The record is from RefSeq and is a predicted model, not a curated record. The transcript is spliced from 3 exons. NCBI's taxonomy places the organism in Eukaryota, Metazoa, Chordata, Actinopteri, Cichliformes, Cichlidae.
CUAACCGCCCCACUUUCUGCUGGCAAGAUUACGGUCCGUUAACACCGAGCAGCCGAGCCCAAGAGGACGAAGCAAGUGCAGGCACCUGCGUGGAGUACCGUUACCAUACUGCUCGCUGGGCUCGCCGUUUUUUUUCACUCUGUAACCAGAGACUGCAGCAGUUGGUGCCGUGCCUCUUUGCCAUAGUUGCUGAACAGCAAAGGAAGCAGCUGGUAGAUGCAGCUCAGAGGUAUGCCCAGUGUCCAGGAAAAGCAUCAUGCUGUGUGUUUUCCCCGCCUGUGGAGGGCAGCGUUGGGAUGAGGACAGACUGCAGAGGGAUCAGGAUCUGAC